GAUAGUUUUUUCCUCCGCAUGGAGGAAAAAGGAAAGGCGGCUUCGGCUGCCACUUACAGAUGGGCCCGCGGCGCAUUAGCUAGUUGGCGGGGUAACGGCCCACCAAGGCAACGAUGCGUAGCCGACCUGAGAGGGUGAUCGGCCACAUUGGGACUGAGACACGGCCCAAACUCCUACGGGAGGCAGCAGUAGGGAAUCUUCCGCAAUGGACGAAAGUCUGACGGAGCAACGCCGCGUGAGUGAAGAAGGCCUUCGGGUCGUAAAACUCUGUUGCCGGGGAAGAACAAGUGCCGUUCGAACAGGGCGGCGCCUUGACGGUACCCGGCCAGAAAGCCACGGCUAACUACGUGCCAGCAGCCGCGGUAAUACGUAGGUGGCAAGCGUUGUCCGGAAUUAUUGGGCGUAAAGCGCGCGCAGGCGGCUUCUUAAGUCUGAUGUGAAAUCUUGCGGCUCAACCGCAAGCGGUCAUUGGAAACUGGGAGGCUUGAGUGCAGAAGAGGAGAGUGGAAUUCCACGUGUAGCGGUGAAAUGCGUAGAGAUGUGGAGGAACACCAGUGGCGAAGGCGGCUCUCUGGUCUGUAACUGACGCUGAGGCGCGAAAGCGUGGGGAGCAAACAGGAUUAGAUACCCUGGUAGUCCACGCCGUAAACGAUGAGUGCUAAGUGUUAGAGGGUUUCC
RNAcentral lists this ribosomal RNA (678 nucleotides) under Heyndrickxia coagulans. RNAcentral's name for it is "bacterial SSU rRNA". It matches the Rfam family "Bacterial small subunit ribosomal RNA", at positions 172 to 835 of the family's 1533-position model. Lineage: Bacteria; Bacillati; Bacillota; Bacilli; Caryophanales; Bacillaceae. The record is from RNAcentral.